UACGGAGGAUGCGAGCGUUAUCCGGAUUUAUUGGGUUUAAAGGGUGCGUAGGCGGGCCUUCAGGCCGGCGGUAAAAUUGCGGGGCUCAACCCCGCCGAGCCGUCGGAACCGGGGGCCUUGAGUACCGGAGAAGUACGCGGAAUGCGUGGUGUAGCGGUGAAAUGCAUAGAUAUCACGCAGAACCCCGAUUGCGAAGGCAGCGUACCGGCCGGUCACUGACGCUGAGGCACGAAAGCGCGGGUAUCGAACAG
This 251-nucleotide ribosomal RNA is filed under the name uncultured bacterium. RNAcentral's name for it is "partial 16S ribosomal RNA". It matches the Rfam family "Bacterial small subunit ribosomal RNA", at positions 524 to 775 of the family's 1533-position model. The record is from RNAcentral.